RNA transcript from Dermacentor albipictus, 1166 nucleotides. It is a transcript of the gene named chymotrypsin-like elastase family member 2A, with no coding region annotated. NCBI's taxonomy places the organism in Eukaryota, Metazoa, Arthropoda, Arachnida, Ixodida, Ixodidae. The record is from RefSeq and is a predicted model, not a curated record.
GCUCCACUCGAGCGAACAGUGUCACUAGGUUCAAUAUAUUAUCUAGGCGACUUCACCGCGCCAAGUGUUAGUCGAUGAAAGUACCACCUGUGCGCGGGAAAGUUACUUUUCGUGGCGGCUGUACAGACUACAUGCCUUCUUGUCAUACCACAUCACCGAAGAGGUCUUUCUCCUAGACAGAUGACCGUAAGGAUGCACGCAAAAUUUUUCUUCUUUGUUUAUGUGACCAGCGCUAUCCUUCACUACUCUCGUCCCACUCAGACGUUACGGCAAUUAACAGGCGAAGGAAUUUCCAGUGAAUACAAAUGAAUGCGGAGUGUCCGAACCAUUAGGAAGAGUGGUAAAUGGGAGGUAUAUAACACAUUCCCAUGUUCCCUGGGUGGUCUUCCUUAGUAGGGUAUACCAUGGAUAUCUGCGAUACUGUACUGGAAGCAUAAUAACAAAGGACGUCAUUGUAACAGCGGCUCACUGUGUUGAGUCAAGAGGCGACACAAUUCUAAAGAUGCACGUUUUCUACAAUACCUCGGUUCCUAAAGGAGGUACAUGCGUGACUGUGGAACGAGGGAUUAUUCACCAAAAGUAUGUAAGACCUGAACGAGGAUACGACAUUGCCCUAAUAAAGCUUGUCAAACCACUUCCGGGUUUCAGCAGAUUUGUGAGACCUGUUUGUCUCCCUCGUGCAAGCUCGAAGACCCCACCUCGUUCGUUGCUUGUGGUUGGAUUUGGCGCUAUCGAUUUCAAUCAUACCCAAUCGAAGCACCUGCAGUACUACGCAACAACGGCUCUAUCAGAUGAAAAGUGUGAUGUUGCGCUGAAGCAUGGAGGAAUGCAUGCGACUAGUGCCCGCGUAAUCUGUGGAACAAGUAGACACCAGAGAGCAUGGAAGGGUGAUUCCGGAGGACCGCUAACGGCUAUAUCGAAGAGCGGGAAGUCAACUCUGUAUGGAAUGGUGUCCUUUGGGUCUGGAAAAAGCAAUGCACGUGGCCCGACGGUCCAUACGCGCGUUUCCGUAUUUGUUACCUGGAUACGGGAGUCGCUGAAGAAUAUACGGAGCUGGAAACCCGUCGUUGCCCAGCUCGCUGCAGAAGCAGACCACUCUUGCACGUGGUAAGGUCUUCGCGAUCCAAGACGUCUCGUUUAUUAAAACGUUGCUCACCGACUUCGCA